UCAAGCAUUUUUUUUCACAUCAAUUAUUUUUGUCUUUUAUGUCACAAUUAUUUCUCUAUAUAAUCAUCACUUCCAUGCCCUUUGCCAAGUCCUCCUUCUAACAACAAAAAAUGAUCAAGUGAAAUCAUAAAUUAGGCUUUUUCCAGCACUUUAGAAGCAAUACCUAGGUGGCAGAUUGGAUGGUAUGUUGGAUUUAGUCUUCAGAAGGCUUGAGUUUGAAUUCUGCUUCCUACACUUGCACACUCAACAGAUUGCCUUCCCUUCCUUCAGCCACAGUUUCCCCCCAUCUGUAAAAUAAGAAUAAUGAUAGGACUUGACUUGUACGGUUGUCCUGAGGAUCUAAGAAGAGAGCUUAUGUAAAACACUUUGCAUAUAUGAAAGCGGUCUAUCAAUAUGAGAUGACAUCUCUAUGGUCAUUUCCCCCUAAUAAAAAUGUCAGCCAUCCCAUACCCUCUGGCUGCUAUAGUCAGAAAAAUGAUGCACUCCCCAGGAUCAGUGUGCUGAAAUUAAGGAUACAUGCCCUGCAAGGUGCCUGCCCCACCUUUCAAGAACAAGGAUCAUCUUCCCAACCCAACAGUAUACAGGCAGUGAGACAUUAGUGGGGUGGGUCUGAGAAUGCUUAACACAACCUUUCUCAAAACAUAUCAGAUUGAGGUGUUUUUCUUUUUCCUUUUAACAGAUGUUUAUUUUUUAAACUGUUCCUUGGGGCAAAAGGUAAUCUCACAAAGGUUGCAUUCUCUCCAUCAGCCAUCUAGCCAUUCUUGCCUUGUGGGGCACGUUGCAUUUAAGCAAAAUGAAACCAUCAUUCUCUUUUAUGCUCUCGACAUAAAUUGUGGCUUACUUGCAGGCAAGUAGCUCUUUACAACAGUUUGGGGACAGGAGGAAGGAAAUGUGUUGGGCAUAUUUUAUGGAUUGGGGCAGUUCAUGAUAAGUACCUUGAUUAGAUUAUCGCUUCAUGUACAUCUUAGAAAAUGCAUAAAUGACUGUAAGGCAUUGUCUGUGGUGCACUAUAUAUUGCUUCACAUGCAUAUAAUUGCAUUAUAUUUAUGUGUCUGAUUAUAUACAUAAGUAUGUUUAUGUGUGUCCAUUCUAUAUAAUGUGUUUGUGUGUGUUGAGGGGGCGAUAUAGCUAAUUCCACAGACAUCCUCCCCUGAUGCUUCAUCACUGAGGGACAGUGACCUUGAAUUUUCAAAAGGUAUGUCAACAAAAUACAACUCUGGCAAAUCUUACUAAAGUGUGUGUGUGUGUGUGUGUGUGUGUGUGUGUGUACUCUGUGUGUAUCCUGAAAACAAAGGCUCAUCACCAAAAGAUUGACCAUGGAUGCUUUUAUCUUUAACCACAGAAACUAAUGAAGGCACAGGACUCUGAUUCACUUUUGAUGGAGAAAAGAUCCAUAUGGAUGAAAUCAUGGUUCUUUUAAUGGAUUGAUAGAAGUGAAUCACUAGCUGCUGAGAAAUAGAAAAGGUUAAGCCUGAUUAGGACAUCCCUUGUUAUUUUGCUAUCACUCCCUUUCAGCCUGCUCCACCAGCAUUAGAGAGUGCACCAAUGGAAGUCCAGCCUUUGAGAUCCACUAUCAGAGACCCGCUACUCUCUUUGCAUCAUGUUUACUACAAGAAGGAUUAUUCAUGAAGAGACAAGACAAGGAGGUGCCAAAGAACAGAAAAUGUGACUGGCCUAAAGGCAAGAAAAGGAAACCGUCCAAAGGAUAUUUCUAUCUCUUGAUCACCUUCAACAGGGUAAGAUCAAAAUGAUCAGGGGGUUUCCAUUCAUUUCAAUUUAUUAAGCACCCACUAUUUUCAAAUCUAAAUUCUGUGUUGUUGCUGUUCACCUUCAUUCUCCAAGAGAACCAUGACUUCAGGAAGCUAUGACUUGCAAGUGAAUUGGGUUUAAGUGUGAAGGGCUGUGCACCCUCUCCUUCAAUUCCUUUUUUAGGGUUUUUGAUAAAAGCCUUUAUAAGUGUUUUCCAUGAGUUUUUCAAGUUCUGGUGAUAACCUAGGAGGAGGUUUAAGAAAGUUCUGUGAGUGGAUCUAGCAGCAAACAAGAAGGAGUCCCUACUCUUACAAAGCUUACACUCUAGUAGGGAAGAUAAGAUAUAUAGAUUAAAAACCACUUUCAAACUACUUUGCAGUUUGUGCAAAAAAAAAAAAAAAAAGCACAGAGACACAUUAGAAUUUG
Sarcophilus harrisii (Tasmanian devil) is the source of this 2175-nucleotide long non-coding RNA. RefSeq lists it as uncharacterized. The transcript is spliced from 2 exons. Lineage: Eukaryota; Metazoa; Chordata; Mammalia; Dasyuromorphia; Dasyuridae. The record is from RefSeq and is a predicted model, not a curated record.